CCGCACCACCUCUACCAGCUGAGACACCCUGCGUAACCUCAAACCGUGUUGAGCCUCCGUUUGUUUCAUAUCCAUGACUUGGAGGAGUGAAGAUGCCUUCCUCCUGGCAGGCACAGCGGAGUCCCACUCAUCUGUGCAGGGCCGUGACACACACGAGGUGCCCAGUAACCCGAGGCCCCGAGCGAGCCCUUCCUGAGCACUUCCACAUGCCGCCACAUCUGCCCUUCACAGCAGCCCAGGGAAGAAGGGCUCAGCUCCACCGUGCCAGCGAGGAAACGGAGGAAUCAAACUCAUGACUUCAGGCUCGCCAGGCAAGCGCUUAUGCCACUGAGCUACAUCCCCGGCUACCUGGAUGCUUGGGCUCCACUUUUCACCAUGAACCAAGCUUUCUACCAUGAGCUCAAAGCCCUCAAAGGCUGUGAUCUCAGACUGCCCUACCUCCCAGGACACAUGCACAGAGCAGUUCCCAGAGCCCUGCACGUGGGCUUCUCCCGAGAUCUCAGCAGGUUUUGGACAGCAGGCCUAGACCUGAGAUCCGCCUGAGAAGUGAGUGAGAGGUCAGCCCCCUUUCGGACUGUGCCACUGUACUCUCUUCGCACGGCGCCACUCUCCUGCCCUAGAGACACUUCUUUCCCUGCCUCAUGUGGCCCAAACUUGCUCUGCAGAGCCUGUUUCUUUUCCUACCUUGAAUAAAACGUUGGUACUGUU
Molecule: long non-coding RNA, 708 nt
Organism: Chinchilla lanigera (long-tailed chinchilla)
Lineage: Eukaryota; Metazoa; Chordata; Mammalia; Rodentia; Chinchillidae
Exons: 2
Source: RefSeq, a predicted model, not a curated record